Molecule: long non-coding RNA, 545 nt
Organism: Mauremys reevesii (Reeves's turtle)
Lineage: Eukaryota; Metazoa; Chordata; Testudines; Geoemydidae
Exons: 3
Source: RefSeq, a predicted model, not a curated record
UUUAUUUCAGGGCGUGGUGCCCAUCAAAUAUGGGUUGUAAUUGUUUGGGGAUACCUCAUAUAGGUUCCAAUGUGAAGUGGUAGGUGACAACUGCGGAAUUGUGUUCACUGGGCAGGGAGGUUCUGUUUUGAAGCAGGUUCUCCUGGGAUAUAUGGGUGGCCCUUUCCAUGAUGCAAGAAAGUUAUAUUUGAAACAGACAGGUCAGAUGGUAGUGAGCGGUGGGUCCAGGACCUUCUACGCUCAGGCCAAAUGCUGGCCUUUGGGGAGGAACACUGGAUCUCGGCUGCUGAAUGGUGACAAGCUGCUGGGACCGAAGCUGCUGAUGGAUCAAAGGACCCUGGAUGGCAGGAAAAGCCCAUGCUGUGAAUAAAUAUGCCUGCCAGAUUGCCUUCUGUGGAAAGACACUAUAAGAAUGGAUCCAGAGAUCGACCCUGUAUCGCUGAACUGUUUUGGAUUCUUACAGAGUGGAUGGAAAUCCCCAGAAUUACCAUGGAUAACCCUGAGAGACUUAUGGAAAACUAGCAGAUCACAACAUCUCUGUCAUU